This 94-nucleotide transfer RNA is filed under the name Gorilla gorilla gorilla (western lowland gorilla). It matches the Rfam family "tRNA". Rfam says of the family: Transfer RNA (tRNA) molecules are approximately 80 nucleotides in length. Their secondary structure includes four short double-helical elements and three loops (D, anti-codon, and T loops). The record is from Rfam by way of RNAcentral. Lineage: Eukaryota; Metazoa; Chordata; Mammalia; Primates; Hominidae.
GCUCCAGUGGCGCAAUCGGUUAGCGCGCGGUACUUAUAAGACAGUGCCCCUGUGAGCAAUGCCGAGGUUGUGAGUUCAAGCCUCACCUGGAGCA